This 253-nucleotide ribosomal RNA is filed under the name uncultured bacterium. RNAcentral's name for it is "partial 16S ribosomal RNA". It matches the Rfam family "Bacterial small subunit ribosomal RNA", at positions 524 to 776 of the family's 1533-position model. The record is from RNAcentral.
UACAGGGGGGGCAAGCGUUGUUCGGAAUUACUGGGCGUAAAGGGCUCGUAGGCGGUCCAUCGCGUCGGGAGUGAAAAGCUGGGGCUCAACCCCAGUCCUGCUUUCGAUACGGGUGGACUAGAGGUAGGCAGGGGAGAACGGAAUUUCUGGUGUAGCGGUGAAAUGCGCAGAUAUCAGGAGGAACACCGAUGGCGAAGGCAGGUCUCUGGGCCACUACUGACGCUGAGAAGCGAAAGCAUGGGGAGCGAACAGG